CGGUGGCGCACGCCUGUAGUCCC
Molecule: non-coding RNA, 23 nt
Filed under: Cricetulus griseus (Chinese hamster)
Lineage: Eukaryota; Metazoa; Chordata; Mammalia; Rodentia; Cricetidae
Source: RNAcentral